CAGAAAUACAAUUAAGGUAACAAAGCAUUGCCACUUAGUUUGAAGCCAAAAUACCCAAACUGGAUUGGUAUUGUCACAGAAUGAGGUUGGAGGACCAACUCUGAAGAUAUGCUCCAACAGGUGGGAUCACUUCCGCUACUGUUGCCUAGACUCUACUGUUUCCCGUUAUGAUAUUUGCAAGUUGCUCUAUUUGCCUGUAAAGGAGGGCUGCACCUGCACCCAUAGCUGCUAUAAUGCGAGACGGGGACGUGACAGCAAAAUGGGCCAUGGGAAAUCUACCUAGCAAUCAAGUGAGUGGAGCCGUUGCUGCGUCUCAACGGACAUUAAAUCGCCCGGAAAUCCAGCUCCAAGCAUCAAUUUUCUUACCGGCGUGAACACAUGGUAAUUGUUAGUUACAACAAUCUCUCUUGAAAGGUAGUGUUGAAUUGUUCAGUAUACCUAUCUUCUUUACAAAACUAUGAGAACACCCCUGUCCCCUCCCACAUUUUCUCCGUUAAAAGAACCCCAUGGAUAGAUA
This is a non-coding RNA of Sesamum indicum (sesame), 517 nucleotides long. Lineage: Eukaryota; Viridiplantae; Streptophyta; Magnoliopsida; Lamiales; Pedaliaceae. The record is from RefSeq and is a predicted model, not a curated record.